This 464-nucleotide ribosomal RNA is filed under the name Vreelandella stevensii. RNAcentral describes it as "partial 16S ribosomal RNA". It matches the Rfam family "Bacterial small subunit ribosomal RNA", at positions 339 to 795 of the family's 1533-position model. The record is from RNAcentral. Lineage: Bacteria; Pseudomonadati; Pseudomonadota; Gammaproteobacteria; Oceanospirillales; Halomonadaceae.
CUACGGGGGGCUGCAGUGGGGAAUAUUGGACAAUGGGCGAAAGCCUGAUCCAGCCAUGCCGCGUGUGUGAAGAAGGCCUUCGGGUUGUAAAGCACUUUCAGUGGGGAAGAAAGCCUUGGGGCUAAUACCCUCGAGGAAGGACAUCACCCACAGAAGAAGCACCGGCUAACUCCGUGCCAGCAGCCGCGGUAAUACGGAGGGUGCGAGCGUUAAUCGGAAUUACUGGGCGUAAAGCGCGCGUAGGCGGUCUGAUAAGCCGGUUGUGAAAGCCCCGGGCUCAACCUGGGAACGGCAUCCGGAACUGUCAGGCUAGAGUGCAGGAGAGGAAGGUAGAAUUCCCGGUGUAGCGGUGAAAUGCGUAGAGAUCGGGAGGAAUACCAGUGGCGAAGGCGGCCUUCUGGACUGACACUGACGCUGAGGUGCGAAAGCGUGGGUAGCAAACAGGAUUAGAUACCCUAGUAGUC